This 264-nucleotide ribosomal RNA is filed under the name uncultured archaeon. RNAcentral describes it as "partial 16S ribosomal RNA". It matches the Rfam family "Archaeal small subunit ribosomal RNA", at positions 714 to 982 of the family's 1478-position model. The record is from RNAcentral.
AGACGUCUACAUUAGAUACCCCUGUAGUCCCAGCCGUAAACUAUGCGCGUUAGGUGUAUCGGUGACCACGAGUCACCGAGGUGCCGAAGGGAAACCGUGAAACGUGCCGCCUGGGAAGUACGGUCGCAAGGCUGAAACUUAAAGGAAUUGGCGGGGAGCACCACAACAGGUGGAGCCUGCGGUUUAAUUGGACUCAACGCCGGGAAGCUCACCGGAUAGGACAGCAGAAUGAUUGCCGGGCUGAAGACCCUGCAUGACUAGCUG